Molecule: ribosomal RNA, 305 nt
Filed under: uncultured bacterium
Lineage: Bacteria
Description: bacterial SSU rRNA
Rfam family: Bacterial small subunit ribosomal RNA
Source: RNAcentral
AUUCUUACGGGGGGCAGCAGUGGGGGAUAUUGCACAAUGGGGGAAACCCUGAUGCAGCGACGCCGCGUGUGGGAAGACGGUCCUCUGGAUUGUAAACCACUGUCCCCAGGGACGAAGAUGACGGUACCUGGGGAGGAAGCUCCGGCUAACUACGUGCCAGCAGCCGCGGUAAUACGUAGGGAGCGAGCGUUGUCCGGAAUUACUGGGUGUAAAGGGAGCGUAGGCGGGGAUGCAAGGUGGGUGUCAGAACUACCGGCUCAACUGGUAGCCGCACUCAAACAUGUAGCUCUUGAGUGACGUAGAGG